GUCGGUAAAACUCGUGCCAGCCACCGCGGUUAUACGAGAGACCCUAGUUGAUAAAAGCGGCGUAAAGAGUGGUUAUGGACUUUUUUUAUUAAAGUGGAAAACCUCUCAAACUGUUAUACGCACCCAGAAGUUGAAACCCCUUACACGAAAGUGACUUUAUCUUCGCCCACCAGAACCCACGAAAGCUGAGACACAAACUGGGAUUAGAUACCCCACUAUG
This 220-nucleotide ribosomal RNA is filed under the name Anchoa hepsetus (broad-striped anchovy). RNAcentral's name for it is "partial small subunit ribosomal RNA". RNAcentral also lists the same sequence under 1 other name. The record is from RNAcentral. Lineage: Eukaryota; Metazoa; Chordata; Actinopteri; Clupeiformes; Engraulidae.